CCCCUAGAUGUUCUGGGCCGCACGCGCGCUACACUGAACAGUUCAACAAGUCUUAACCUUGGCCGAUAGGUCUGGGUAAUCUUUGAACGCUGUUCGUGAUUGGGAUAGACCUUUGCAAUUAUUGAUCUUCAACGAGGAAUUCCUAGUAAGCGCAAGUCAUCAGCUUGCGUUGAUUACGUCCCUGCCCUUUGUACACACCGCCCGUCGCUUGUACCGAUUGGAUGGUCCGGUGAAAUCUUCGGAUAGCUGGUAGUUGGCUUGCCAUCUGCUGCUAAAAGUUGCUUAAACCUUAUCAUCUAGAGGAACAAGAAGUCGUAACA
RNAcentral lists this ribosomal RNA (320 nucleotides) under uncultured eukaryote. RNAcentral describes it as "partial 18S ribosomal RNA". It matches the Rfam family "Eukaryotic small subunit ribosomal RNA", at positions 1470 to 1796 of the family's 1831-position model. The record is from RNAcentral.